RNAcentral lists this ribosomal RNA (301 nucleotides) under uncultured bacterium. Its description in RNAcentral is "partial 16S ribosomal RNA". It matches the Rfam family "Bacterial small subunit ribosomal RNA", at positions 509 to 809 of the family's 1533-position model. The record is from RNAcentral.
CAGUAGCCACGGGAAUACGGAGGGUGCAAGCGUUGUCCGGAUUUAUUGGGUUUAAAGGGUGCGUAGGCGGCUAUUUAAGUCAGCGGCGAAAGACUCCGGCUCAACCGGAGCAGUGCCAUUGAUACUGGAUAGCUUGAGUGUUGGAGGGGUACAUGGAAUUGAUGGUGUAGCGGUGAAAUGCAUAGAUACCAUCAGGAACACCGAUAGCGAAGGCAUUGUACUGGCCAACAACUGACGCUGAGGCACGAAAGCAUGGGGAGCGAACAGGAUUAGAUACCCGCGUAGUCCCUGUCUCUUAUAA